This 27-nucleotide non-coding RNA is filed under the name Drosophila melanogaster (fruit fly). The record is from RNAcentral. RNAcentral also lists the same sequence under 1 other name. Lineage: Eukaryota; Metazoa; Arthropoda; Insecta; Diptera; Drosophilidae.
UACUGACAAUAAAGCCGAGGUAUUCUA